This 440-nucleotide ribosomal RNA is filed under the name uncultured bacterium. Its description in RNAcentral is "partial 16S ribosomal RNA". It matches the Rfam family "Bacterial small subunit ribosomal RNA", at positions 338 to 795 of the family's 1533-position model. The record is from RNAcentral.
CCUACGGGUGGCAGCAGUGGGGAAUAUUGCACAAUGGGGGAAACCCUGAUGCAGCAACGCCGCGUGAGUGAUGACGGCCUUCGGGUUGUAAAGCUCUGUCUGCAGGGAAGAUAAUGACGGUACCUGAGGAAGAAGCCACGGCUAACUACGUGCCAGCAGCCGCGGUAAUACGUAGGUGGCGAGCGUUGUCCGGAUUUACUGGGCGUAAAGGGAGCGUAGGCGGCCGUGUAAGUGUGAUGUGAAAUGCGCGGGCUCAACUCCCGUGCUGCACUGGAAACUGGACGGCUAGAGUGCAGGAGAGGUAAAUGGAAUUCCUAGUGUAGCGGUGAAAUGCGUAGAGAUUAGGAAGAACACCAGUGGCGAAGGCGAUUCACUGGACUGUAACUGACGCUGAGGCUCGAAAGCGUGGGGAGCAAACAGGAUUAGAUACCCGAGUAGUC